RNAcentral lists this ribosomal RNA (465 nucleotides) under Vreelandella stevensii. RNAcentral describes it as "partial 16S ribosomal RNA". It matches the Rfam family "Bacterial small subunit ribosomal RNA", at positions 338 to 795 of the family's 1533-position model. The record is from RNAcentral. Lineage: Bacteria; Pseudomonadati; Pseudomonadota; Gammaproteobacteria; Oceanospirillales; Halomonadaceae.
CCUACGGGAGGCUGCAGUGGGGAAUAUUGGACAAUGGGGGGAACCCUGAUCCAGCCAUGCCGCGUGUGUGAAGAAGGCCCUCGGGUUGUAAAGCACUUUCAGUGAGGAAGAACGCCUGGUGGUUAAUACCCAUCAGGAAAGACAUCACUCACAGAAGAAGCACCGGCUAACUCCGUGCCAGCAGCCGCGGUAAUACGGAGGGUGUGAGCGUUAAUCGGAAUUACUGGGCGUAAAGCGCGCGUAGGUGGCUUGAUAAGCCGGUUGUGAAAGCCCCGGGCUCAACCUGGGAACGGCAUCCGGAACUGUCAAGCUAGAGUGCAGGAGAGGAAGGUAGAAUUCCCGGUGUAGCGGUGAAAUGCGUAGAGAUCGGGAGGAAUACCAGUGGCGAAGGCGGCCUUCUGGACUGACACUGACACUGAGGUGCGAAAGCGUGGGUAGCAAACAGGAUUAGAUACCCGGGUAGUC